Molecule: non-coding RNA, 2207 nt
Organism: Pelodiscus sinensis (Chinese soft-shelled turtle)
Lineage: Eukaryota; Metazoa; Chordata; Testudines; Trionychidae
Source: RefSeq, a predicted model, not a curated record
AUUUCUAUCAUUUACAGCUCUCCCACCCCAUGGAGUGCAAUUGACCACUAGAGGGAGCAUGAGAGCAAUUUGCUGCCCGGUAGAGUGUGGUAAAAGUAUUUCAAAUUAGGAUAUGGUUUUUAAGUUACAUACAAAUGUAUUCACCAAUUGUUCAAAAUUUAGAUGCUUAAUUAUGGGGAGUUAGCUUUAGGCAGGGAGCCUCUGUAAGGGCAUUCCUCACCACCUACUCCAUAGUACUCAGUGUUAUAAAGUUUCUGGCUUAUUUUAUUUGGGGAUGCUCCCUCCCUUGGGAUUACUAUCUCCUUUAAAUUAUGAGUAUAUUAAUUUCAAUAAUAUUUUAAAUAAUUUCCAAAAAUACAUAUGCUCAUGUUCCCUAAAGUUUUCUCUUCCCCUCCAUCAUCGUUAUCAUCAUCAAUUAAAAGAUGAACAAUUAAAAAUUAAUGGAGAGUGAAUAUCUCCUAGAACUGGAAGGGUCAGCAAGUCCAGUCCCCUGCCUUCACAGCAGGACCAAAUACCAUCCUCAACACAUUUUUAUCCCAAAUGGCCUCCAAGGAUUGAACUCACAACCCAGGGUUUAACAGGCCAAUGCUCAAAUCACUGAGCUAUCCCUCCUCUAUGGAUUAGGGACAAAUCCUUCCCUUUACUCUGCCUUUGUUGCUUGGAGGAGGGAGGCAAGCCAUGUGAAACUAAACUAGUGCAGAUUUGUGAUGUGGACAGGGCAGGAUUUGGGAUAUGUAGCAGAAAUAUCAGUGUGGAUCAGAAGAGGAAAAAAUGUGAGGUUGGUGUAUUCACUACUGUGUGGAUUCAUCACCUUUCACAACUCUUCAUCUUAUGCAGUGGAAGGGGCAUGUUACAGAAGAUAUUCUGUGUGAACUACUGUCAUGGUUGUUGAGUAGCUCUGGUCUGAGGGAGAGAUCUAAGACUUUCUACCCCACUUUAUCAAGUUUGGUUUAUGAAUAUAAAUAUGCAUAACUUAAAGAAUCUUUAUAAAAUACCUCAUGUAACCUAUCAAUUUUAAUGUUACAGUCUGUUGGAUGUGUAUAUCCUGUUUUGGUGCAUGUAUCAUUCAUGUAUGUAAAGUUAGUAAUAAGAAGUAUGACACUAUUUAUAGUACUAAGUGUGCUAAUGAGAACCAUUACAGUUUCCCCUCCAAACUCUCCCCCAUCCCCCUCAAGCUUUAACGACUUGGUGAUCAACUUACCGACUUGUAAACAGACUUGUUUUUCUUGUAAAUCAAAAGGUGACUAGUCUAAUAAGACAUAUGAGCAUAUUACCUGGUACUGGGGUUCCUUUUUGACCUGGUACUUUUCCCUGGAAAGGGGGAUGUAGAUUAGAACAAAAGGUUCCCGCCCUGGAAGAAAGACUAUUUAAGCAGUGGGAAGCUAUCAUCCCUUUGUCUUUGGCUGACCUUAUGCAAUCCAAAGAGGGCUGGGGCCCCAAGCCAGGCUAAAAGAGUCUCUGAUCAGAAGACUAUGCGUAGGACAGGAACAGCUCAUUAGGGGUGUGACGUGGCGGCACUGCCCCGCACUAAAGCUAAAGGAGUCCACCUGGGCCCGGGGGCAGGGCAAGUCCUGCCCCCACAACCCUGCGUGGCAUGUUCAAGAGUGAGGCCCGAGAUAAAAGCCAGGGGACGCCGUCAGUCAGAGGAGGUAGCCAAAGGGGCAGGAGCACCAGGAAGAGAUCCGGAGCUGUCCCAGCCAUCCUCGGAGCCAGGCCUGCCAUCCCCGACACCUCCGGAGUGAGGCCUGCUGAUUCAGCCACCUAGGAGCUGCAACCUUAACCACAGGCCUCGGGACAUAGGCUCAGCCAGGGAAGAGAGAGAAAAAAGAGAGAAAUCCUGUGCCUUUUGUGUGUGAGGAACCCAUCUCCAUCCAAAGAAUCCAUCACAAAAGAUUAUGCAUAAUCAAGUCAUACCUACCAUUGUGUGGCAUGAGAUUUCAGUGAGCAAGCUCCCCUGUUUCAACAGCCAACGGGGCUAAAGAACCCAACUGAAAACUCUCCACAUGCAACACUGUGAUAACUGGGCUUGUCUGCAUUAGUUUUGCCACUUUAAUUAUAGCAGUAUAGUGGACACAAUUCAAAUAAAAUGCUUAAAUUGUUUGUGAUUUAUUCUUGUAUGAUAACUGAAAUAAGGUAUCUCAAUAUAACUGCAUCUACUCCAGUGCUUUUACCAGUAAACUAUGUUGGCAAAAAUAUAUCAGUAAAAC